Molecule: small nuclear RNA, 201 nt
Filed under: Arabidopsis lyrata subsp. lyrata
Lineage: Eukaryota; Viridiplantae; Streptophyta; Magnoliopsida; Brassicales; Brassicaceae
Description: snRNA U2
Rfam family: U2 spliceosomal RNA
About the family: U2 is a small nuclear RNA (snRNA) component of the spliceosome (involved in pre-mRNA splicing).
Source: Rfam by way of RNAcentral
AUACCUUUCUCGGCCUUUUGGCUAAGAUCAAGUGUAGUAUCUGUUCUUAUCAGUUUAAUAUCUGAUAUGUGGGCCAUCGGCUCACACGAUAUUAACUCUAUUUUUUAAGGGAGAAGGCCCGCUAGGAUAGCUUGCUAUCUGUCGGUAAGGAAUAAAAGUGAACGCAGAAAUAUUAAAGGCAGAUUCUUUCUUUAACUUCCU